RNAcentral lists this ribosomal RNA (396 nucleotides) under uncultured bacterium. RNAcentral describes it as "partial 16S ribosomal RNA". It matches the Rfam family "Bacterial small subunit ribosomal RNA", at positions 523 to 918 of the family's 1533-position model. The record is from RNAcentral.
AUACGUAGGGAGCGAGCGUUGUCCGGAUUUACUGGGUGUAAAGGGUGCGUAGGCGGGUCGGCAAGUCAGAUGUGAAAUACCGGGGCUUAACUCCAGGGCUGCAUUUGAAACUGUUGAUCUUGAGUGAAGUAGAGGCAGGCGGAAUUCCUAGUGUAGCGGUGAAAUGCGUAGAUAUUAGGAGGAACACCAGUGGCGAAGGCGGCCUGCUGGGCUUUAACUGACGCUGAGGCACGAAAGCAUGGGGAGCAAACAGGAUUAGAUACCCGGGUAGUCCAUGCCGUAAACGAUGAUUGCUAGCUGUGGGGGGACUGACCCCUUCCGUGCCGGAGUAAACACAAUAAGCAAUCCACCUGGGGAGUACGACCGCAAGGUUGGAACUCAAAGGAAUUGACGGGG